GUAGGGAAUAUUGCGCAAUGGACGAAAGUCUGACGGAGCGACGCCGCGUGAGUGAUGAAGGCCUUAGGGUCGUAAAGCUCUGUUGAAUGGGAAGAAAAAAAUGACGGUACCAUUCGAGGAAGGACCGGCUAACUUCGUGCCAGCAGCCGCGGUAAUACGAGGGGUCCUAGCGUUGUUCGGAAUCAUUGGGCGUAAAGGGUGUGUAGGUGGCCAUGUAAGUCAGGUGUGAAAGCCCCGGGCUCAACCCGGGAAGUGCACUUGAUACUGCGUGGCUUGAGUACCGAAGAGGGUAGUGGAAUUCCAGGUGUAGUGGUGAAAUACGUAGAUAUCUGGAGGAACACCGGUGGCGAAGGCGGCUACCUGGUCGAGUACUGACACUGAGACACGAAAGCAUGGGGAUCAAACAGGAUUAGAAACCCUGGUAGUCC
RNAcentral lists this ribosomal RNA (428 nucleotides) under uncultured bacterium. RNAcentral's name for it is "partial 16S ribosomal RNA". It matches the Rfam family "Bacterial small subunit ribosomal RNA", at positions 354 to 796 of the family's 1533-position model. The record is from RNAcentral.